GGCGAUCUUUGACUCCACCAAUUUUGAAUUUGGCUGUACUAAUUAUGUAGUCUUUGACUCUAACAUUUCUCUAAUCCCUGCAAUUCGGCUGUACCAAUACUUCAUCAAUUUCGGGCGGCGAUUUCACAGUUGACGCCAUCCAAUUUCGAUGCAAAUCUUUGUUGUUGUGGACGCGCCGCCGCCGCCGCCGCCACCUUUCCCGCCGCCUCGUCCAGUCUCUCAGGUUGCCCAGAACUUGCAAGACCUUGAGUUCUACAAAUCACCUUUCACAUCACUCUGAAAUUUGAACAAUAAUUAGCUUGUUAAAAAAUCUAAUGAGAUGCAUACCAUAUUGAGAAAAGUUUCUGUAUUUUCUGCCUGAAAUUUUGUCUAUCCAGAAUCUUAAUAGGUAGAAAGCUUCCACGUUAUGAAUAGGUAGAGUCCAAUUGUAGGGAGUUCCAAGGAAGAAGAAGGGAGAUUCCGUGUGGGUGGGUUGGAAGGGGAGCGUGGGAAGUUAGG
RNAcentral lists this long non-coding RNA (498 nucleotides) under Capsicum annuum. RNAcentral's name for it is "long non-coding RNA (CANN_LNC008107)". Lineage: Eukaryota; Viridiplantae; Streptophyta; Magnoliopsida; Solanales; Solanaceae. The record is from RNAcentral.